UAGGGAAUCUUCGGCAAUGGACGGAAGUCUGACCGAGCAACGCCGCGUGAGUGAAGAAGGUUUUCGGAUCGUAAAGCUCUGUUGUAAGAGAAGAACGAGUGUGAGAGUGGAAAGUUCACACUGUGACGGUAUCUUACCAGAAAGGGACGGCUAACUACGUGCCAGCAGCCACGGUAAUACGUAGGUCCCGAGCGUUAUCCGGAUUUAUUGGGCGUAAAGCGAGCGCAGGCGGUUAGAUAAGUCUGAAGUUAAAGGCUGUGGCUUAACCAUAGUACGCUUUGGAAACUGUUUAACUUGAGUGCAAGAGGGGAGAGUGGAAUUCCAUGUGUAGCGGUGAAAUGCGUAGAUAUAUGGAGGAACACCGGUGGCGAAAGCGGCUCUCUGGCUUGUAACUGACGCUGAGGCUCGAAAGCGUGGGGAGCAAACAGGAUUAGAUACCCUGGUAGUCCACGCCGUAAACGAUGAGUGCUAGGUGUUAGACCCUUUCCGGGGUUUAGUGCCGUAGCUAACGCAUUAAGCACUCCGCCUGGGGAGUACGACCGCAAGGUUG
RNAcentral lists this ribosomal RNA (550 nucleotides) under uncultured bacterium. Its description in RNAcentral is "bacterial SSU rRNA". It matches the Rfam family "Bacterial small subunit ribosomal RNA", at positions 355 to 896 of the family's 1533-position model. The record is from RNAcentral.